CAAUAAGCGGAGGAAAAGAAACCAACAGGGAUUGCCCCAGUAACGGCGAGUGAAGCGGCAACAGCUCAAAUUUGAAAUCUGGCCCUCGGGUCCGAGUUGUAAUUUGCAGAGGAUGCUUUUGGUGAGGUGCCUUCCGAGUUCCUGGAACGGGACGCCAUAGAGGGUGAGAGCCCCGUCUGGUCGGACACCAAACCUGUGUAAAGCUCCUUCGACGAGUCGAGUAGUUUGGGAAUGCUGCUCUAAAUGGGAGGUAUAUGUCUUCUAAAGCUAAAUACCGGCCAG
RNAcentral lists this ribosomal RNA (282 nucleotides) under Myxocephala albida. RNAcentral's name for it is "partial 28S ribosomal RNA". It matches the Rfam family "Eukaryotic large subunit ribosomal RNA", at positions 44 to 330 of the family's 3401-position model. The record is from RNAcentral. Lineage: Eukaryota; Fungi; Ascomycota; Sordariomycetes.